UGGCGGCGUGCCUAAUACAUGCUAGUCGAACGAGGUGCUUUUGUAGCAAUACGGAAGUAUCCUAGUGGCGAACGGGUGAGUAACGCGUUGGUGACCUACCCCAAAGUGUGGGAUAACAGUCCGAAAGGAUUGCUAAUACCGCAUGUGGUCAUCGGGUUUAGAAACCGAUGUCUAAAGGAGCAAUUCGCUUUGGAGGGACCUGCGUCCCAUCAGCUAGUUGGUGAGGUAACGGCUCACCAAGGCUACGACGGGUAGGGGACCUGAGAGGGUGACCCCCCACAAUGGAACUGAAACACGGUCCAUACACCUACGGGUGGCAGCAGUAGGGAAUAUUGCACAAUGGGCGAAAGCCUGAUACAGCAACGCCGCGUGUGCGAUGAAGGCCUUCGGGUCGUAAAGCUCUUUUCUGAGGGAUGAGCAAGGACAGUACCUCAGGAAUAAGUCUCGGCUAACUACGUGCCAGCAGCCGCGGUAAAACGUAGGAGGCGAGCGUUAUCCGGAUUCACUGGGCGUAAAGCGCGUGCAGGCGGUUCGGUAAGUUGGGUAUGAAAUCUCCUGGCUUAACUAGGAGAGGUUAUUCAAUACUACCGGACUAGAGAGUGGUAGAGGAAGAUGGAAUUCCCGGUGUAGUGGUGAAAUGCGUAGA
RNAcentral lists this ribosomal RNA (646 nucleotides) under uncultured soil bacterium. RNAcentral's name for it is "bacterial SSU rRNA". It matches the Rfam family "Bacterial small subunit ribosomal RNA", at positions 37 to 694 of the family's 1533-position model. The record is from RNAcentral.